This 397-nucleotide ribosomal RNA is filed under the name uncultured bacterium. Its description in RNAcentral is "bacterial SSU rRNA". It matches the Rfam family "Bacterial small subunit ribosomal RNA", at positions 29 to 416 of the family's 1533-position model. The record is from RNAcentral.
AACGAACGCUGGCGGCGCGCCUAAUACAUGCAAGUCGAGCGAGAAGACGUAGCAAUACGUUUGUAAAGCGGCGAACGGGUGAGGAAUACAUGGGUAACCUACCCUCGAGUGGGGAAUAACUAGCCGAAAGGUUAGCUAAUACCGCGUACGCUCCUUGGACUUCGGUUCAGGGAGGAAAGCGAUACCGUGGGUAUCGCGCUCUUGGAUGGGCUCAUGUCCUAUCAGCUUGUUGGUGAGGAACGGCUCACCAAGGCUUCGACGGGUAGCUGGUCUGAGAGGACGAUCAGCCACACUGGCACUGCGACACGGGCCAGACUCCUACGGGAGGCAGCAGUAAGGAAUAUUGCGCAAUGGGCGAAAGCCUGACGCAGCGACGCCGCGGUGGGGGAUGAAGGUC